Molecule: ribosomal RNA, 501 nt
Filed under: uncultured bacterium
Lineage: Bacteria
Description: partial 16S ribosomal RNA
Rfam family: Bacterial small subunit ribosomal RNA
Source: RNAcentral
AUUGAACGCUGGCGGCAUGCCUUACACAUGCAAGUCGAACGGCAGCACGGGUGCUUGCACCUGGUGGCGAGUGGCGAACGGGUGAGUAAUACAUCGGAACGUACCUUAUCGUGGGGGAUAACGCAGCGAAAGCUGUGCUAAUACCGCAUACGCCCUGAGGGGGAAAGCGGGGGAGCGAAAGACCUCGCGCGAUUAGGGCGGCCGAUGCCUGAUUAGCUUGUUGGUGGGGUAAAAGCCCACCAAGGCGACGAUCAGUAGCUGGUCUGAGAGGACGAUCAGCCACACUGGGACUGAGACACGGCCCAGACUCCUACGGGAGGCAGCAGUGGGGAAUUUUGGACAAUGGGGGCAACCCUGAUCCAGCAAUGCCGCGUGAGUGAAGAAGGCCUUCGGGUUGUAAAGCUCUUUUGUCAGGGAAGAAACACCGGCUCUAACACAGUCCGGGAAUGACGGUACCUGAAGAAUAAGCACCGGCUAACUACGUGCCAGCAGCCGCCGUAA